RNAcentral lists this ribosomal RNA (461 nucleotides) under Staphylococcus sp. R-45693. RNAcentral's name for it is "bacterial SSU rRNA". It matches the Rfam family "Bacterial small subunit ribosomal RNA", at positions 22 to 473 of the family's 1533-position model. The record is from RNAcentral. Lineage: Bacteria; Bacillati; Bacillota; Bacilli; Caryophanales; Staphylococcaceae.
GCUCAGGAUGAACGCUGGCGGCGUGCCUAAUACAUGCAAGUCGAGCGAACAGAUAAGGAGCUUGCUCCUUUGACGUUAGCGGCGGACGGGUGAGUAACACGUGGAUAACCUACCUAUAAGACUGGGAUAACUUCGGGAAACCGGAGCUAAUACCGGAUAACAUAUUGAACCGCAUGGUUCAAUAGUGAAAGGCGGCUUUGCUGUCACUUAUAGAUGGAUCCGCGCCGUAUUAGCURGUUGGUAAGGUAACGGCUUACCAAGGCAACGAUACGUAGCCGACCUGAGAGGGUGAUCGGCCACACUGGAACUGAGACACGGUCCAGACUCCUACGGGAGGCAGCAGUAGGGAAUCUUCCGCAAUGGGCGAAAGCCUGACGGAGCAACGCCGCGUGAGUGAUGAAGGUCUUCGGAUCGUAAAACUCUGUUAUCAGGGAAGAACAAAUGUGUAAGUAACUGUGCAC